Molecule: ribosomal RNA, 499 nt
Filed under: uncultured bacterium
Lineage: Bacteria
Description: partial 16S ribosomal RNA
Rfam family: Bacterial small subunit ribosomal RNA
Source: RNAcentral
ACUCAAAUGAAUAGACGGGGGCCCGCACAAGCGGUGGAGCAUGUGGUUUAAUUCGAUGCAACGCGAAGAACCUUACCUACCCUUGACAUACAGUGAAUUAGCUAGAGAUAGCUGAGUGCCUUCGGGAACACUGAUACAGGUGCUGCAUGGCUGUCGUCAGCUCGUGUCGUGAGAUGUUGGGUUAAGUCCCGUAACGAGCGCAACCCCUAUUCUUAGUUGCCAGCGCGUAAAGGCGGGAACUCUAAGGAGACUGCCGGUGACAAACCGGAGGAAGGCGGGGACGACGUCAAGUCAUCAUGGCCCUUACGGGUAGGGCUACACACGUGCUACAAUGGCCGAUACAAAGGGAAGCGAAGGGGCGACCUGGAGCGAAUCCUAGAAAGUUGGUCGUAGUCCGGAUUGGAGUCUGCAACUCGACUCCAUGAAGUCGGAAUCGCUAGUAAUCGUGAAUCAGCAUGUCACGGUGAAUACGUUCCCGGGCCUUGUACACACCGCCCGU